UACGUAGGGCGCAAGCGUUGUCCGGAAUUAUUGGGCGUAAAGAGCUCGUAGGCGGCCUGUUGCGUCCGCUGUGAAAUCACCCGGCUCAACUGGGUGGCUGCGGAGGAGACUGGGCAGCUUGAGGGGCCUAGAGGCCGGUGGAACUCCCGGUGUAGUGGUGAAAUGCGUAGAGAUCGGGAAGAACACCAGUGGCGAAGGCGGCCUUCUGGACCAAUACUGACGCUCAUGCACGAAAGCGUGGGGAGCAAACAGG
RNAcentral lists this ribosomal RNA (253 nucleotides) under uncultured bacterium. RNAcentral describes it as "partial 16S ribosomal RNA". It matches the Rfam family "Bacterial small subunit ribosomal RNA", at positions 524 to 776 of the family's 1533-position model. The record is from RNAcentral.